CUACUUUUCAAAGAAAAAUAUUUUCUUUGGAGUUGUAGGUAUUAUAGUGAAAACUUAAUCCUGACUUCUGUUCUGCAUAAAUGAGAAUCGCACUAUGCCAGGUAACAUAAUAUAGCGAGUACCCUGGUUGAGUCAAGAUAAUAUAAAAUAAGUGGAAAGAUAAUGUGGCCCAAGUAGUAAAGGAAAGGAUGUGCAAACAGCCGAAUGUGAAUCUGGCAAUAAUGUGCCUGUUUAAAUGAGUUUUAGUUGAGUACCAAAUAGUUACCUAGGUUUUCCUGGGAAAAACACUGAUCCAGCUUUUCUGAUUCAACUGAGUUUGUGUAUGGUUUUGAAUAAAUAACUAAACAAUAGAAA
Pectinophora gossypiella (pink bollworm) is the source of this 354-nucleotide long non-coding RNA. RefSeq lists it as uncharacterized. The record is from RefSeq and is a predicted model, not a curated record. Lineage: Eukaryota; Metazoa; Arthropoda; Insecta; Lepidoptera; Gelechiidae. The transcript has 2 exons.